Molecule: ribosomal RNA, 450 nt
Filed under: uncultured bacterium
Lineage: Bacteria
Description: partial 16S ribosomal RNA
Rfam family: Bacterial small subunit ribosomal RNA
Source: RNAcentral
CCUACGGGUGGCUGCAGUAAGGAAUAUUGGUCAAUGGACGAAAGUCUGAACCAGCCAUGCCGCGUGGAGGAUGAAGGUCCUCUGGAUUGUAAACUUCUUUUAUAUGGGACGAAAAAGGGACUUUCUAGUUCAACUGACGGUACCAUAUGAAUAAGCACCGGCUAACUCCGUGCCAGCAGCCGCGGUAAUACGGAGGGUGCAAGCGUUAUCCGGAUUAAAGGGGUCGAAGGGGGGUUGGUAUGGGUGGGUAGAAAUCUCCGAGCUUAACUUGGAAACUGCCAUUGAUACUAUCAGUCUUGAAUACCGUGGAGGUCAGCGGAAUAUGUCAUGUAGCGGUGAAAUGCUUAGAUAUGACAUAGAACACCAAUUGCGAAGGCAGCUGGCUACACGAAUAUUGACACUGAGGCACGAAAGCGUGGGGAUCAAACAGGAUUAGAUACCCCGGUAGUC